Molecule: ribosomal RNA, 1815 nt
Filed under: marine metagenome
Description: bacterial LSU rRNA
Rfam family: Bacterial large subunit ribosomal RNA
Source: RNAcentral
UCAAGCGUUUAAGGGCGUGUAGUGGAUGCCUUGGCACUGAAAGCCGAUGAAGGACGUGAUAUACUGCGAUAAGUUUCGGGGAGCUGUAUGUAAGUUUUGAUCCGAAAAUUUCCGAAUGGGGAAACCCACCACUUUAUGUGGUACUUUAAACUGAAUACAUAGGUUUAAAGAGACAACCUGGAGAACUGAAACAUCUAAGUAACCAGAGGAAAAGAAAUCAAUUGAGAUUCCGUUAGUAGUGGCGAGCGAACGCGGACUAGGCCAGUAGUUUUGUUAAAAAAAUUUGAAUAGUUUGGAAAUGCUAACCAUAGAGGGUGAUAGUCCCGUAUGAGUAAUGUUUAACAAAAUUCUUGAGUAAAGCGGGACACGUGAAAUCCUGCUCGAAUAUAGGGGGACCACCCUCUAAGCCUAAAUACUCUUCAGUGACCGAUAGUGAACUAGUACCGUGAGGGAAAGGUGAAAAGAACCCCUAUUAGGGGAGUGAAAUAGAACCUGAAACUGCAUGCCUACAAUCAGUCGAAGCUCUUUUUAGAGUGACGGCGUACCUUUUGUAUAAUGGGUCAGUGACUUAAUUUAUUAAGCAAGCUUAAGCCAUCUAGGUGUAGGCGCAGCGAAAGCAAGUCUUAAUAGGGCGAUUAGUUUAAUGAAUUAGACCCGAAAACGAAUGAGCUUACCAUGAGCAGGUUGAAAGUUGGGUAACACCAACCGGAGGACCGAACCAGUUGACGUUGAAAAGUCUUUGGAUGACUUGUGGUAAGGGGUGAAAGGCCAACCAAAUUCGUAGAUAGCUGGUUUUCCGCGAAAACUAUUUAGGUAGUGCGUUGAAUAAAUAGAUGUUUAGAGGUAGAGCACUAAAUGGGCUAGGGGGAAGAGAUUCUUACCAAACCUAAUAAAACUCCGAAUGCUAGACAUUGUUCUUCAACAGACAGACUGUGGGUGCUAAGGUCCAUGGUCGAGAGGGAAAGAGCCCAGACCACCAGAUAAGGUCCCCAAAUUAUGAUUAAGUGUGAAAGGAUGUGGAAAUUCCUUAACAGCCGGGAGGUUGGCUUAGAAGCAGCCAUCCUUUAAAGAUAGCGUAACAGCUCACCGGUCUAAUAGAGUUUCUGCGCCGAAGAUGUAACGGGGCUAAAAUCAUAUACCGAAUCUGUGGGUUUAUAAAACUUUCGAGUUUUAUAAGCGGUAGCGGAACGUUCUGUAAGCCUGUGAAGGGAUACCCGUGAGGGAUCCUGGAGGUAUCAGAAGUGCGAAUGCUGACAUAAGUAACGAUAAAAGAAGUGAAAAACUUCUUCGCCGAAAAUCCAAGGGUUUCUGCGCAAGGUUAAUCCGCGCAGAGUUAGUCGGCACCUAAGGCGAGGGCGAAAGCCGUAGUCGAUGGAAAUAAGGUUAAUAUUCCUUAACCAGAUGGUAGUGACGGAUCUUGUAAGUUGUGUACUCUUAAUGGAUUGAGUAUGCCGCGAAAAGGUUCCAAGAAAUAGCUCCAUCAUUAGACCGUACCCUAAACCGACACAGGUGGAUUAAUAGAGUAUAUUUAGGCGCUUGAGAGAAUGAUGUUGAAGGAACUCGGCAAAAUGCUUCCGUAACUUCGGGAUAAGGAAGACCUGUUUUUAGGCAACUAGAGAUGGGUGGCACAAGCCAGGGAGAAGCGACUGUUUAUCAAAAACACAGGGCUCUGCUAACACGUAAGUGGAUGUAUAGGGUCUGACGCCUGCCCGGUGCUGGAAGGUUAAUGCGGUUGGUGCAAGCUAACUUCUGAAGCCCCAGUAAACGGCGGCCGUAACUAUAACGGUCCUAAGGUAGCGAAAUUCCUUGUCGGGU